Molecule: non-coding RNA, 6692 nt
Organism: Oryzias latipes (Japanese medaka)
Lineage: Eukaryota; Metazoa; Chordata; Actinopteri; Beloniformes; Adrianichthyidae
Source: RefSeq, a predicted model, not a curated record
CACCCUGAUCUAAAGAUUUUUAGUGUCAAAUGUGAUUACUGUGCACCUCGAUUUGUAAUAUUGCAUAACCGCGAUUUAGCAUCUAAAGGAGAAGCCCUCAUCUCCUAACAGUCAUGUUGGAUCAGAGUUGGAGUUUGUGUGGAAUCUGUUUCUUCAAAUAACAUUUGAAGAAACAUUUUUGAAAUUUCAAGUCCUCUCCGUCGUUGUUCAUUUGAAUAUUCUCAGAACUUUAACUCAAAGAUUUAGAGGCAGUUCAAAAAUAUUUCCUUAAAUUAGUUUAACUUUUCAUUGUAAUCAGUUCAUGUGGGCUCUUAGAACAGAAGGCUUUUGGCUUUUGGAAAUAACCUAGAUUGUAACAAACAGCUGACAGAGUUUGGUUUGAUGUCUUGUUUUUGGCGUAGAAAACUUUGGUAGUGAGUAUAAAUAUUAGACUUAAUGCAAUUAAAUGGAAAUAACAUCUCUGUACAGGCUGGAUAUGAUUAUUUUUAUUUUUUUCAUUGAACUAGGACUUCUUGAAUUUAAUGUUUAUUUCAAGAAUGAAUUUUGAAAUCACCAAUAUAUGUUAGGUUGAAAAUCCUCAUAAAGUCAAUCUCUGAUUGUUGCUUUACUGAAAAUGUCUUAUAAAAGUGAAGAUCUUAAUAAAGUCCUGUGAAAACUGCUCGGAUCCACACGCAUCCUGAUGUCUUACAGGUAAACGGAGAGGAACUUGACCUUAGGACACCUGAGGUUGAACCAGGUGCAGAGGUCUGUUGUCGGAAUUCCAGGUGACAUUCACAUGAGGUGGCUUCUUGAAGUGUGUUUCUGUUUCCUGCUGAUGAAUAGAGUCACAUCUCUUUAAGCAUAGAACAAGAACUGCUGAAUUCCUUAGGAUCUCAAACUGGAUAACCACUCUUCACCAAGGGGCAUUAUUUUUAAUUCAACUUUUGUUUGUGUUUUGUAGAAUAAUGAUCUGAAGAACAGGAAACAUGUUUUAGAUAUUUGUAGAUAUAAAUUUAUAUCAAGAACCAAACAACUUGUUCCUGCAUUCCACUGCAAAAAUAAUAAUAAUAAUAAUUUGUUAUCUGCUGUUCUGAUAUUUGGCGUCCCUGCAUCUUCUCUGUCUGAACUGCUGUGUCAGAUAUUGAAAGUUGGUGUGGAAGCAGAGGGCGUGGAGCUUAGUGGGAGUGUGUUCUGACUCCAAGAGCGAGACUGAAAGGUCUGCUCCAUCCUGGAUCGGAUGGAUGUUUAAGUUCAUCUGUUGCCUCUAUUCUUUGGUAAGCACAUGGUAAUGCCUCCUCUUCUUUUUUUAUUAUUGGCUUCUCCUCCAUCCCAGCCAUUAGUUUGGUUAUUGCUGUGGUUGCAGAAAAAGUUUUUUUACUUUCCUACUGAUGUGACUGUCAGAAUUUUGGAUGUCUCAUCAUGUGUACAGUAAUAACUUUGCACUGCAGCCUUCCUUUUUUUUUUUUUUUUCAUUUAGUUUUCUCCUUUAUGUUUAUUUGUCCCAUGUGAAGCAAUUUUGUCCUUUAGGUGUGCACAAUGCUGCCUUUUUAUCCACAAAAGAUACAUUAAAAAUGUCCAGAAGAACAUGACAACACUUGCAUCGCUGCCAUCUUGGGUAAUUGUUGCUAAAAUUCUUAGCACAUGUGAGUUUCACUGCAGGGAGGGGUCUGGAAUUCUCCGUUCUCAAGUUCUGCACUUAUUUAUUGUGAAACAAAAAAUGUUCUGGAAAGAACAAACUUUGUUUCUCACAACAUACCAGGAAACUAUAUCACUUUUGGACAAAUGUCCCGCCAAGCUUCAGCUUUUUCCAGUCAGAAAUCCAUCCGUGGCGUGUUCACAGGUGACAUUUUAGGCUUACUUGUUAACACAUGGGUGACGGUUUCAGGUAGAACCAUUUUCGGAAAUGAGAAAUUCAGGGAAUUUGAUAUUUUUUAUCUUUUCUUUUAGACUUUUGUUCAAUUGUUUUGUAAAAAAAAAACACUCUUCUUAUAAAAAAGAAAACUAAUCUCUAGCUUACAGCUUUUUCACAUAAACUAAAAUACAAAUGCUCGAUCUCGCAUGCAUCUGAUAAUUGUGGCUUCAAACUUGUGACUUUGGCCAAAUCUUAUCACCUUGGAUAUCUAGUCCAUGUGCACAAUAGGGUUGUUAGGUUUAUUUUGUCUUUUCAACAAUGUUUUAUUAAGCAGAAGUGCUAGCAGGAAGGUCAUGAUUAUGUGUGGGCACUAAAAUCAUUUUUGAUUGAAAGACUGUUGGUAUUUUUUUCCUGACAUCUUUCUUUCAUUGUGAUGUUUCAUUUUAUAAAAAACAAAAAACCUACCACACAUUAUUUUGAUGUUCAAACAGCCUAUGGAUAUACAAGUGAUUUUUCUUUUAACCCAUUGAUAUCUGAACAUAUUUCCAUCUAUGGGUGAAAAAAAGGUCACUUAUUUUUUUUGCUUGGAAGUAGAUGUUAAAGUAGGGUAAUUAUGGAGCAGAAAUGGUUUUCUGCCUAUAUUCAUCAAUAGGCUUUAAGGGGUUAAAUCUAGUUUUUUUAAGGCAAUCAUAAAUAACCUCAUUAUUUUUAUUGUUUUACAAAAUAGAAUUCAUGCUGGUAGGAAAAAAUGUAGUUGCGUGGUUUCAGUUGUAUUGGUUCCCAUGCAGGAUUUCAUGCUCAAACUCUAUUUAAAGGUUCGCACAGGUGGGUACAUGAAAGCACGUUUUCCCUGCAUUAUAAGCUUGUCAAUCACUCUAAAAAGCCAGUUUUUGCAAAGGUCUGUAGGCCCCACAGUAAGAGCCCUGCUUCUUAAUAGCACCUGGUGUUAAGGAGAUCAGCGUGAGGGUUUGUCAGUACAUGACAAGAAUGGACACUAAUCCCAAGCAAUACCCACUGGUCCUGCACGUCUCUUGAGCGGGAUAAUUGAUUCUCACACCCUUCUUAAAACACGCUUGGCCUUUUUUUUUUCUGAGACCCGACAACCCAGUGAAAAGAGCUAGUUUCCCUCUGGUGUCGAGGGAACGGCGCUCCGACAACAAAAGUGUGUGUCUCUGCCGCGCGCAGCUCCUGGGACAGUAGGGCUGAGGGCUGUCAGAAGUGUUGUAGAUGGUAGCAAACAGAUUUGUGGGUAAUGGACACUAAUCUCUUCUAGUGAGUUGUCAGGGGUUUUUCCCUCAGAUCCCGCUUCUCUGAUCCUCUCGGAUGGUAACACGGAUGACAUAAAUGUGAAAACCUCCCGUAAGUGAGAAUCGAGAAAAGGCGAGUUUGCUUCAUCCAAUACGCUGCAUGCAGAUCUAGGUGUUUUUCUCCAGUUAAUAUUCAAAACGGAAGACUUAUGAGAUGUCCAAAGGGUGGAGUUUGUUAAAGGAAGAAGCUUUUUGUCUUAUCUAUGCGUUUUUUGAUCCAAUUUCAUACAAACUGGAGAGUCGUAGGUCAUUUCAGGGAAUUUAGAAUUCAAAUGAAAUGCGGAAUCGUUUUAAGAAAAGAAAAAUCGCUUUUGAGUAAAUGGCAAAAACGGAUUUCUGUCUCCUUCUGCUCAUAUUCUUCCAUAUUAGCCUUGGCCUGACCUUGUCUUGAUAUCACUUCCCAGGAGAGGAAUGUGAAUGGUAUUCUUCCAAACACAGUUACCGCCAAACUCCCCAUUCUCAUCACCUCUACUCUGCUCUGUUCCAGGGCCACAUGAUCUUUUCCAUGUACCAGACAUACUUUGUGGCUAAGGUUUGGAGGCUGACGGUGCGUCUGCGCCCCUCUGCUGUUUCAGGCGUCGGGUGCACCAUGUGAUUCCUGAGAUGCAGAAAAGUGUAGUUCAUGUUUUGUUGGAGCGGCUAUCAAACCUCUCCAAUUGGUCUUAAUUAUUUUAUUUUUUUAAAAAGACCUUAAAAAGCAAACGCCUAUCAAACUUAAAAAAAAAGGAAAUUUUGUUGGUGUGUAGCCUUUAUUUAUUGGCAGCAACCUAUCAUUCAUGCACAUUUUCUUGUGAAGUGUAAAGACACCCUCCAUCUAAAUUGCAUGGGAACAUGUGACAACUUGUUCACCAUUCAUAGAGUUUGGGUAAGUAAGCUGUUGCCGUGCAGCUGUGGGAGAAAAACUCAAGAUAUCCUUUAAACAGAGGUGGCAUCCAACAAUUCUGAUGAUUUGUAGCUGUUCUAACAGCAUCUUUUGGUUUCAUUGGUAACAUCAGUGAGCAGUUUUGUUCACUGUCUUUGAAGAUGACGACAAUAUCAACCCAGUCCACUGGGUCUUUUAUGGCCACAGCUGCUUCAUACAAUAUCUUCCUAUAGUUUCCUAGCAACCCAUGCAACACCCUGCCUGCAAGGUGUUUGCCUUUGAGCAAACAUGCCCAUUCAUCCACCUCAUUUCACCACAGAGAACAUUCACGACACAACAUGGUCCCAACGGAAAAAUAGUUUUGCUCUAGAUGCAAGGAAAGUCAAAGAUUUCAUAUGCAAGUGCUGCAGAGUUUUAUGUUAUUUCUUUUCAGAAUUACUGAUAUUUUGUUGAGAAUUUAUGAGAAAAAUGGUGAGUUUAAGCUGAGAAGCUCAAACCAGCAUGAUCUUAAGGAAGUAGCUCCAUGGGAAAAAUGGAAAUUCUGAAGAAAUCUAGUGACCUUGAGUGAAAACAUUUUGUCCUGAUGUAAAUGUUCCUGUAACAAGUUAUGAAUUUGCCUUUUUCCUAUUAUGACCUCAAACCAGUUUGACGUAAAUCAUCGGUUUCCACUACAAAGGGUCCAAAUGUUCACAUUGCUGACGGUUCAACUUCACACAAAUAUGUUAAAACACGUGAGAUCACGUGUGUUAUCCGCUGUGAUGCACUUUGACUUUACAGUAAAAAAAAUCUACCAUGUCUCAUAGAUCAAUUUGUAGUCAAUUUAUUUGAUUUUAAAAUGAUUUUACACUGGUAAAGGUCGAUUCAAUCAACAACUGGCCUUAGAUUAAUCUGGUUGAAUAGUUAAUCAAGUCGAUUAAUCGUUCAAAUUAGAGUACGCCUGCACAAUUCAUUUAUUUAACUUACUUAUUUAUUUAGCUUUUAACUAUUUAAUGGGUUUUAAAACUUAUCAUUUCUACAUUUAUUCCCCUUUUCUACAUCUCAAACUAUUAGCAACGGCAUUUGACACUAUCUAAUGUUUGUCUUUAAAUUGUUUUGUGUUUUAGGACUUUUUUUAUGUUUUAAUCUUUAUUUAUGUAUGUUUUUUUUUUACAAAGCAGCCUAUGUUCUGCGCCGGGAUCCUUCAAUUAUUUCAAAUGUUUCACCUUUGAACCAAAUUCUGGGGUGAGUGUAUCCUCGUCUCUCUACUGCGCACAAUUAAGUUUAUGUUUGAUGUGUCAAACAUGUAUUGUGCAAAAUUUAGGAGGAAUGUAUUACUUAUUGCUUUAUCGAGUUAUCUAGGUUUGAACCGAACCGUGAAGAAGGUGCAUUGUUGCAUCCCUGCAUGCCGAUGAAGGAUGCUCCAAAGUAAGUGAUGGACUGAUAGAAGAUUCUCUGCUAUUAUUCUAAGAAGUGAACCAAAGUUUUUUUUUUUUAUAAAAAAAGCUUUAAUUUAAGGAAACAUCAUAGUCUGCAGCAUUGCCUCAGAAAAGUCAGAUCUGGGAAUAAAUUAGGGAUCUUUAGAGCUCUUCAGCUUUCAACCCUUCUCUCAGAAGAUGCAGGAGAAGUGUUUGGGAAACUCCUGGUGUGCGAGCUGACUCCCCUCGUGCCGCCCAGCUGAAUGUUUCUGACAAGAACAAUGGGAGAAACUUCCAAUGGAAAGGUGCGCUCAGCUUCAGAAACUUUUUUCCCAAGAAGAUUCGAGUCUGUUUGAGACUUGGUUACGAGAUCAGAAGCAGCAGAGUAAAGAAUCAUGCAAAAGACUUAUUUUGGCGCCUCGGUUUACAUCAAAUUUUUAUAAAGCUGUCGAGCCAAAAAAUGAUUUCAACGUGUCACGGGUUUUAAAGGAUCAUUUGCAGCUUUGUAUCAUCGUUUUGCUUCAGUGUAUAAAAAAGUAUACGUUUACAGUUCAGCAAGUCUUAGAAAAAGCUACUCUGCUGAUCUGGAUCUUCUCCAAACUUCAGGUCUUUGAUUCAAAAGUUUUCACCUCCUGGGAAGAUCAGGCAAAAUGAUCAACAUAUGAUGUGUUUUCUGUGUUUAACACAACAUUUGUGACGUCAAGAACUUCCCGUGCAUCUAGAUCUAAAGCUGUCUCCCAUGAUUCCUCUUAUCAGAGACCUUUUUACACUUUGUACAGCCAACAGGCCGGCAGGCCAGAUAGGGAUGUCAACGCCUGCGGUCAUGCCCAUCCUGAUGAUGAAGUCACAGCACAAGCAGAGCUUUUCUUUGUUCCCGUGUGUGACGGCUUUCCAGGGAUGGCCACAGGGGUCAGCGAUGACUUUUUUCCAGGGUAACUCACAUGAACAACUGACCUGCGACUCCACUUCAAGGCUGCCAUCUAGUGGUUCCCUGACGUUUGUGCAGAAAUGCUCACCUGCAGCAAACUCCCACAGCCGUUCUGCUCCAUCAUGAAACCCUAAGUGAGGAAAAUGGAUGAUGUAACGAUGGUGUGAUGUAUUUCAGUGUUUCUGUACGAUGAUGUUAGCGCGGCUGGUUCAUGUCAAACAGAGGAGGCCUGACUGAGGCCGGCGAAGCAGAGCAAGGACUUGUUGGACAUGGCUCAGCUCUGACUGAAUGACAUCAGCCUCACUGUGAGGUGGAGGUGAACACACAGUGGAGCCCUCAUGCUUCUCUGUUUGUUAAAAAAAAAAAAAAA